Molecule: ribosomal RNA, 136 nt
Organism: Mustela putorius furo (domestic ferret)
Lineage: Eukaryota; Metazoa; Chordata; Mammalia; Carnivora; Mustelidae
Source: Ensembl
GUCUACAGCCAAACCCUGAAUACCCUGAUCUCUUCUGAUCUUGGAAGCUAAGCAGGGUGGGGCCUGGUAAGUCCUUGGUUGGGAGAUAAGCAAAUGUAUCAUUUAAUGUGUUGGUAACUGCAAGUAACUGAAUACC